This 281-nucleotide ribosomal RNA is filed under the name uncultured bacterium. Its description in RNAcentral is "partial 16S ribosomal RNA". It matches the Rfam family "Bacterial small subunit ribosomal RNA", at positions 338 to 615 of the family's 1533-position model. The record is from RNAcentral.
CCUACGGGGGGCAGCAGUGAGGAAUAUUGGUCAAUGGGCGCGAGCCUGAACCAGCCAAGUCGCGUGAGGGAAGACGGUCCUAUGGAUUGUAAACCUCUUUUGUCGGGGAGCAAAAAGGCCUCGUGAGGUCACAAGUGAGAGUACCCGAAGAAAAAGCAUCGGCUAACUCCGUGCCAGCAGCCGCGGUAAUACGGAGGAUGCGAGCGUUAUCCGGAUUUAUUGGGUUUAAAGGGUGCGUAGGCGGGAUGGCAAGUCAGAUGUGAAAUCCAGGGGCUCAACCC